AGGGAAUCUUCCGCAAUGGACGAAAGUCUGACGGAGCAACGCCGCGUGAGCGAAGAAGGUCUUCGGAUCGUAAAGCUCUGUUGUUAGGGAAGAACAAGUACCGGAGUAACUGUCGGUACCUUGACGGUACCUAACCAGAAAGCCACGGCUAACUACGUGCCAGCAGCCGCGGUAAUACGUAGGUGGCAAGCGUUGUCCGGAAUCAUUGGGCGUAAAGCGCGCGCAGGCGGUCCUUUAAGUCUGAUGUGAAAUCUUGCGGCUCAACCGUAAGCGGUCAUUGGAAACUGGGGGACUUGAGUGCAGGAGAGGAAAGCGGAAUUCCAUGUGUAGCGGUGAAAUGCGUAGAGAUAUGGAGGAACACCAGUGGCGAAGGCGGCUUUCUGGCCUGUAACUGACGCUGAGGCGCGAAAGCGUGGGGAGCAAAC
Molecule: ribosomal RNA, 425 nt
Filed under: uncultured bacterium
Lineage: Bacteria
Description: bacterial SSU rRNA
Rfam family: Bacterial small subunit ribosomal RNA
Source: RNAcentral